GGUCUAGGCAUUAGUUGUGGUUGCAUCCUUGAUUUGCUUGAGUGAUUCAGCAAGGUCAUCUAGCAGCCUGUGAGGAUCGGGAAUAGUCAGUUCAUCCACAGCGACAACCAUCGUCAACUUGUUCACGUAACUCUGAAAGUGAAGGGUAAGGGCCUGUGGAUUGCCAUAUACACUGGGGGCGAUGUAGAUAAUUGGAUGGCCAUAUAACGCAAUUUCGUCAACUGGCCCAAAGACAUUGGAGAAAGUUAGGGUCGUGUUUUUUAGCACUCUACAAUACAGAGUUGCAGCAACCUUAGCGCCUAAGAAUUUGAUAGCCCAAAAGGUCCACUUGUGUGUGAAGAGUGCUUCAAGGGAGUUCUUCUUCCUCUGUGCAGUAGCCCUCCCUUUGCGAACAUAAUCUAGGGGGUCCUCGCAAUUGAAGAUGGUAAACGGCAUGAUCAUGAUACCGAAACAAUUUCCCGAUCUUGUACCACUGCCUUUCCCUUUCAUCAUCUCUGCAAGAUCAUGAAUACCAGGGCCUUGUCUAAUAUUGACCAAUAAAAUCGAUCUUAUGCUUAUAUUGUCCGGAAGACCUUUCUUUUUUUGUUUGCCAUUGCCUUCAUCAAAACUCCUGCUGAGGUAGCGCGAGAGACCAGCAGAUGUAAGCCCCACGAGGACAUCAUUUACCGUACAGCCCAUUGCAUUUUUUAUGGCCUUGACAUCAUCGAGGCUCACACUCCGGUACACGAAUCUUUUCUGGCGGAACUCUACACCAUCUGUUCCCUUGAGCAGGGUUUUGGGGUCUUGUGAGAAAGAGCUGGUAGCCGUAAAGAUGAUAAAGUCAACCACUGAGUGCCAUAGAAGCACUAAUACUGCCCAGAAACGCAGCAGGAAUGCCAAAAGGCAGUGGUGUUUGCAUGGAGUCCGCCCUUUGGCCACUGGCACAGUUGGGAGGGACUCUGGAUCAGAGAUCUUGCGGCUGCUUGCAAGGAGAAGAGAAAUGAGAGAUACUCCGUCACCGAGGGAAUGGUGGACGCGUAGGACGGCUACCGCCUCUGCAUCGGAGGUGCGGAUGUUGAGGAGAUGGAACUCCCAGAGGGGGCGGGUGAGGUCCAUAGGGCUGGUUGAGAGGGAGGACAAGUAGUCCUCCACAAGUUUGUCUGGGGAAGUGGUGGCAGGUCCUAAGUUCAUAUCCGGCACCACUAUGUGUUCAUCGAUCACCACCUUGGUCCUGACCCAGAUGGGCUUUUUGCGUCCAUUGGAUACCAGGAUGCUAGAGAAACGGGGAUGGUGAAUAACGGUAGACACCAGCCCAUCUUUGAAUUUCUCAAGGUCUAUCUUCUUUCCCAUUCCCAGUACUGCAAUAAUACGACAAUUCAUGUUGGGCUGGUGGAACAACCUUGACGCCGGGCUCAGCGGCUCCUCCUCGACAGUGAACUUGCUGUCGACCAUCUCUCCCACUUUUUUAGUUUUAAUAGAGAAUAAAGUUGGACUCGGUUCCCGCCGCUUGCUCAUCGUG
This 1498-nucleotide unclassified non-coding RNA is filed under the name Hevea brasiliensis (rubber tree). The record is from RNAcentral. Lineage: Eukaryota; Viridiplantae; Streptophyta; Magnoliopsida; Malpighiales; Euphorbiaceae.